GACGAACGCUGGCGGCGUGCUUAACACAUGCAAGUCGAACGGAAAGGCCCUGCUUUUGUGGGGUGCUCGAGUGGCGAACGGGUGAGUAACACGAGAGUAACCUGCCCUUGACUUUGGGAUAACUUCAGGCAACUGGGGCUAAUACCGGAUAGUAGCUCCUGCUGCAUGGUGGGGGAUGGAAAGUUUCGGGGGUGGGGGAUGGACUCGCGGCUUAUCAGCUUGUUGGUGGGGUAGCGGAUUACCAAGGCUUUGGCGGGUAGCCGGCCUGAGAGGGUGAGCGGCCACAUUGGGACUGAGAUACGGCCCAGACUCCUACGGGAGGCAGCAGUGGGGAAUAUUGCACAAUGGGCGGAAGACUGAUGCAGCAACGCCGCGUGCGGGAUGACGGCCUUCGGGUUGUAAACCGCUUUCGCCUGUGACGAAGCGUGAGUGACGGUAAUGGGUAAAGAAGCACCGGCUAACUACGUG
RNAcentral lists this ribosomal RNA (468 nucleotides) under uncultured bacterium. RNAcentral describes it as "partial 16S ribosomal RNA". It matches the Rfam family "Bacterial small subunit ribosomal RNA", at positions 28 to 507 of the family's 1533-position model. The record is from RNAcentral.